AAGUCGGGCGGGAUACAUUGUUGUAGCAAUACAGUGGUGUGUUUAGCGGCGAACGGGUGAGCAAUACAAGGGCAACCAUCCCUCAGGAGGGGCACAACCCACCGAAAGGUGGGCUAAUACCCCAUGUUUUGCGGCGGAGGCAUCUCUGCCGUAACAAAGGCGCCGCAAGGUGCCGCCUCUGGACGGGAUCUUGUCCUAUCAGCUUGAUGGCGGGGUAACGGCCCACCAUGGCAACGACGGGUAGCCGGCGUGAGAGCGUGACCGGCCACAGGGGAACUGCGAUACGGUCCCCACUCCUACGGGAGGCAGCAGUCUAGAAAUUUGGGCAAUGGGCGAAAGCCUGACCCAGCGACACCGCGUGGAGGAUGAAGUCUUUCGGGAUGUAAACUCCUGACAGGCGGAGCGAUGCCGUUUCGGAGUAACUGCCGAGACGGUGACGGUACUGCCAAAGGAAGCCCCGGCUAACUACGUGCCAGCAGCCGCGGUAAUACGUAGGGGGCAAGCGCUGUCCGGAUUUACUGGGCGUAAAGGGUGUGCAGGCGGGCUGGCGUGUCGGUGGUGAAAGCCCUCGGCUUAACCGGGGAAGUGCUGCCGAAACUACCAGUCUUGAGGACGGAAGAGGAAACUGGAACUUCUGGUGUAGCGGUAAAAUGCGUAGAUAUCAGAAGGAACGCCGAUAGCGAAGGCAGGUUUCUGGGACGUUCCUGACGCUGAAACACGAAAGCUAGGGGAGCAAACAGGAUUAGAUACCCUGGUAGUCCUAGCUGUAAACGAUGUACAUUAGGCGUGGGGAGUUUUCCCCGUGCCGGAGCCAACGCGUUAAAUGUACCGCCUGGGGACUAC
RNAcentral lists this ribosomal RNA (843 nucleotides) under uncultured bacterium. RNAcentral's name for it is "bacterial SSU rRNA". It matches the Rfam family "Bacterial small subunit ribosomal RNA", at positions 59 to 883 of the family's 1533-position model. The record is from RNAcentral.